Molecule: ribosomal RNA, 142 nt
Filed under: uncultured Alphaproteobacteria bacterium
Lineage: Bacteria; Pseudomonadati; Pseudomonadota; Alphaproteobacteria
Description: partial 16S ribosomal RNA
Rfam family: Bacterial small subunit ribosomal RNA
Source: RNAcentral
CAUUGGGACUGAGACACGGCCCAAACUCUUACGGGAGGCAGCAGUGGGGAAUCUUGCACAAUGGAGGAAACUCUAUGCAGCGAUGGUGUAAAGCAAAGAAGCCCUUGGGUUGUAAAGCUCUUUCGUCGGGGAAGAAAAUGAC